This 169-nucleotide ribosomal RNA is filed under the name uncultured bacterium. RNAcentral describes it as "partial 16S ribosomal RNA". The record is from RNAcentral.
AUUACCGCGGCUGCUGGCACGGAGUUAGCCGGAGCUUAUUCUCCCGGUACUGUCAUUAUCAUCCCGGGUAAAAGAGCUUUACAACCCUAAGGCCUUCAUCACUCACGCGGCAUUGCUGGAUCAGGCUUGCGCCCAUUGUCCAAUAUUCCCCACUGCUGCCGCCCGCCGC